GGCCGCGUAGCUCAGCUGGUAGAGCAUACGCGUACAAAGCGUAGGCGGCGUCCAUGCAUGAGGGUUCGAAUCCCACCGAGGCUA
This 84-nucleotide transfer RNA is filed under the name Echinostoma caproni. It matches the Rfam family "tRNA". From Rfam's summary of the family: Transfer RNA (tRNA) molecules are approximately 80 nucleotides in length. Their secondary structure includes four short double-helical elements and three loops (D, anti-codon, and T loops). Lineage: Eukaryota; Metazoa; Platyhelminthes; Trematoda; Plagiorchiida; Echinostomatidae. The record is from Rfam by way of RNAcentral.